UGGGGGGAAUCGAGGAUACUACAGGGAGAGGUUUUACAAGACUGUCAGACACAGUCACAGUCGCUCACGUGACGGUGUGGAGGCUGGUGUGGUCGAUGGAGAAUUUGGCUGGAGCUGUGAAGGGAUUAUUGAACUGACCAACAAAUGAUGAAAUGAUGCUGUAGUUCUUUGUUGAAUAAAGCUCAGUCACAUAAGAGGAAACUGACCGCGACCUGCUUCACGUGCACCCCAUUUAGAUAAAUGCAUGUGAACAAUGGACAUCUCACACUCUAUUCAAAUUGUGUGUAUUGUAAGCACCAACUCACAGGACUGCGAUGUUGGCACUCGGCUCGACCCACUAUCGAUGUGAUUUCAUUUCUAUCUGCUUCCACAACUUUGACCUUGCGCAACGGCAGCAUUUGGUAAGCAAUGAUUUAUCUGCCAAAUAAAUGUGUUGGCUCCAUUGAGAAUGUGUUUAAGGUGUGGGGUCACUCACUAGGUCAAAAAUGGCGGCUCAUAAAUCGAAGCCUAGAAACGACUCAGACGAGGUGAAAGAUGAGCAAGGAAAGGGUCAUUUUGAAGGGAAAAGGUUUCAGAAUGAAAAAUUAGUCAACUUAUAAAAAAGUAAAACAAUCUAGAGAGGAAUACGGUGCAAUUUUGAGCUGCAUGAAAGCGAGACACUUAAGCUGCCGUCAUUGGACACCUUACCUUGAGUGAGAUCCAGUGCUAAGAUGGUAUAUCAGUCAAUCUGACAGCGUGAGGUUAGAGGGCUCAUUUGAGAAGUGAAGGCCAGUGUCCCUCUCGGUGAAGUGAGAUCAUGGCGCUUUAGUUGCAGCUCACCUGCCUGGAAAAUCUACUUACCUGCCUCUCGUUCAGACUUAUAAGUCUCGCUGAGGCUAGUGUGUGCUGUCUGUUGUGACAUUGAGUGUCACUGAGUGGAAUGAUGAGUGAUGGCCGUCACCGAGCAGCAACUACUUUGAAUAGGAGGUGUUUGUGGAACUUUGUUUGGAACUAAAAUUCUUCAUUUGAACUCGGACCAGAGUGACACAUUUCAGAAAACAGGCAGUAACAUUUCUUUGUGUCUGGAACAGUUCUUGGUCAGAUACCCUUCCUGAAGGUUUCACAACAAGUCGAUUCUUGCUCUUCACGACACGUAACACAAAGUCACACAUUAGUGAUAACAAUCACUUCCACACCGCUCCCUUCCCAUCCCACCAAGAGCUGCUUUGCCAAGGUAAGCACAUCGCUGCAUAAGCUGUCACCCAAUCUCUGAAGCUCCUGCCAUCCAGCGUUACAGUGAGUUUUCAGCUCUCAUAGCUUCGUCUUCCAGCAGCAGGCAGCUCUGAAGCUCCAAAGACCCACUGAACACUAGCUGCUCAUCGCCGAACAGCAGACAGACACGGCUGGUGAUUAGCUGGUGAACAAAAUGGUGCUCAGAGACCAAAA
Long non-coding RNA from Acanthopagrus latus (yellowfin seabream), 1425 nucleotides. RefSeq lists it as uncharacterized. The transcript has 3 exons. The record is from RefSeq and is a predicted model, not a curated record. NCBI's taxonomy places the organism in Eukaryota, Metazoa, Chordata, Actinopteri, Spariformes, Sparidae.